This 1693-nucleotide ribosomal RNA is filed under the name human gut metagenome. Its description in RNAcentral is "bacterial LSU rRNA". It matches the Rfam family "Bacterial large subunit ribosomal RNA", at positions 1252 to 2925 of the family's 2925-position model. The record is from RNAcentral.
GAAGGUGUACUGUGAGGUAUGCUGGAGGUAUCAGAAGUGCGAAUGCUGACAUAAGUAACGAUAAAGCGGGUGAAAAGCCCGCUCGCCGGAAGACCAAGGGUUCCUGUCCAACGUUAAUCGGGGCAGGGUGAGUCGACCCCUAAGGCGAGGCCGAAAGGCGUAGUCGAUGGGAAACAGGUUAAUAUUCCUGUACUUGGUGUUACUGCGAAGGGGGGACGGAGAAGGCUAUGUUGGCCGGGCGACGGUUGUCCCGGUUUAAGCGUGUAGGCUGGUUUUCCAGGCAAAUCCGGAAAAUCAAGGCUGAGGCGUGAUGACGAGGCACUACGGUGCUGAAGCAACAAAUGCCCUGCUUCCAGGAAAAGCCUCUAAGCAUCAGGUAACAUCAAAUCGUACCCCAAACCGACACAGGUGGUCAGGUAGAGAAUACCAAGGCGCUUGAGAGAACUCGGGUGAAGGAACUAGGCAAAAUGGUGCCGUAACUUCGGGAGAAGGCACGCUGAUAUGUAGGUGAAGUCCCUCGCGGAUGGAGCUGAAAUCAGUCGAAGAUACCAGCUGGCUGCAACUGUUUAUUAAAAACACAGCACUGUGCAAACACGAAAGUGGACGUAUACGGUGUGACGCCUGCCCGGUGCCGGAAGGUUAAUUGAUGGGGUUAGCGGUAACGCGAAGCUCUUGAUCGAAGCCCCGGUAAACGGCGGCCGUAACUAUAACGGUCCUAAGGUAGCGAAAUUCCUUGUCGGGUAAGUUCCGACCUGCACGAAUGGCGUAAUGAUGGCCAGGCUGUCUCCACCCGAGACUCAGUGAAAUUGAACUCGCUGUGAAGAUGCAGUGUACCCGCGGCAAGACGGAAAGACCCCGUGAACCUUUACUAUAGCUUGACACUGAACAUUGAGCCUUGAUGUGUAGGAUAGGUGGGAGGCUUUGAAGUGUGGACGCCAGUCUGCAUGGAGCCGACCUUGAAAUACCACCCUUUAAUGUUUGAUGUUCUAACGUUGGCCCCUGAUCGGGGUUGCGGACAGUGUCUGGUGGGUAGUUUGACUGGGGCGGUCUCCUCCUAAAGAGUAACGGAGGAGCACGAAGGUUGGCUAAUCCUGGUCGGACAUCAGGAGGUUAGUGCAAUGGCAUAAGCCAGCUUGACUGCGAGCGUGACGGCGCGAGCAGGUGCGAAAGCAGGUCAUAGUGAUCCGGUGGUUCUGAAUGGAAGGGCCAUCGCUCAACGGAUAAAAGGUACUCCGGGGAUAACAGGCUGAUACCGCCCAAGAGUUCAUAUCGACGGCGGUGUUUGGCACCUCGAUGUCGGCUCAUCACAUCCUGGGGCUGAAGUAGGUCCCAAGGGUAUGGCUGUUCGCCAUUUAAAGUGGUACGCGAGCUGGGUUUAGAACGUCGUGAGACAGUUCGGUCCCUAUCUGCCGUGGGCGCUGGAGAACUGAGGGGGGCUGCUCCUAGUACGAGAGGACCGGAGUGGACGCAUCACUGGUGUUCGGGUUGUCAUGCCAAUGGCACUGCCCGGUAGCUAAAUGCGGAAGAGAUAAGUGCUGAAAGCAUCUAAGCACGAAACUUGCCCCGAGAUGAGUUCUCCCUGACUCCUUGAGAGUCCUGAAGGAACGUUGAAGACGACGACGUUGAUAGGCCGGGUGUGUAAGCGCAGCGAUGCGUUGAGCUAACCGGUACUAAUGAACCGUGAGGCUUAACC